This 301-nucleotide ribosomal RNA is filed under the name uncultured bacterium. Its description in RNAcentral is "partial 16S ribosomal RNA". It matches the Rfam family "Bacterial small subunit ribosomal RNA", at positions 509 to 807 of the family's 1533-position model. The record is from RNAcentral.
CAGCAGCCGCGGUAAUACGAAGGGUGCAAGCGUUACUCGGAAUUACUGGGCGUAAAGCGUUCGUAGGUGGUUGUUUAAGUCUGUUGUGAAAGCCCUGGGCUCAACCUGGGAAUUGCAGUGGAUACUGGGCAACUAGAGUGUGGUAGAGGGUAGUGGAAUUCCCGGUGUAGCAGUGAAAUGCGUAGAGAUCGGGAGGAACAUCCAUGGCGAAGGCAGCUACCUGGACCAACACUGACACUGAGGCACGAAAGCGUGGGGAGCAAACAGGAUUAGAUACCCGCGUAGUCCCUGUCUCUUAUAC